Molecule: small RNA, 656 nt
Filed under: Oryza sativa Japonica Group (Japanese rice)
Lineage: Eukaryota; Viridiplantae; Streptophyta; Magnoliopsida; Poales; Poaceae
Description: sRNA Os01g0901950
Source: RNAcentral
GCGUCUCCGAUAACCUGCUGGUUGUGAAGCUCCACCUCCCUCUCUAGCUUGGUCUUCUCGGUGUUCUUGGGCUCUCCCCAGUAGUCGUAGCGGUACAUAGGCUUACUCGGGUCGUAGUAAUCUUUGCCAUAAACUUCGGUCUCAUCCACGUCAUAUCGCCCAGGUUCGUCGACAGGAAGCCCAAAUGCUUUACGGCUGCCAAUUUUUGAGUUAGUGGAUAUACAUUCGGUGGCAUCAAAUUUGUAGCAGUAGUAACAUUAGUUGCAAUUACCAGCAUAUGUCUCUGAUAAGAGCUUCCCGCUCUUCGAAAGAACGGCGCCAUUGCAUUAGAUCGUACUCAUCCAUUUCUUUGUUUCGUCGGAGCUUCCCUACUUUGUAUUCCUCUCCUCUUUCCUCUGCUUCCUUUCUUAGUUUUUUUAUCAGCUGCAGAAAUUAAACUUCAGUAUGUUGAAAGGAAAUAGCGAGUGAUCAAUAAAGAAUUGUCCUCGCUAUGAGGGAAAGGGUACCUGACGCUCAGCACGAGCGGCAUCCAGAUCAAGCUCCUUGAUAUCUAUAUUCUAACAGAAGAGUUCAGAACACAACCAGAAUGUCAUUGGGGGAUCAUUGUACUGUAAAAAAAACACCCUACGAUAAUUGAAAGCUAGUAAUCAGUAGCU